GGGGGUGACCAGGUUUCGACCGGGUAGUGGAAGCACAGAUUGCAUGCCGUGGUUGAUCUGCAGGCCACGUAAAAAGCAGGUCAAACAACAACUGCUGAACCGCAGUUUUCUUUGGCUGCCUAGAAAUAGGCGCCACUGUUUCAUUAUCUUCUCCUGAGAGAUGAUGGGGCGGUAGUAAUUCGGGAUCGCUUGGCCCUGUGACUGGGUAACUGGUCGUGACGGAGGCGGAUCAAGCUAAAAAAAACAGCCGGAUAGCCUGAAAAGUGUCCUGCCUAACGGAAACUUGAAGGCGAACGCGCAAGGAAGAAACCGCAAGGAAUCUGUCCGGGCAAAAAAGGAGAGGACAAGCAUGUAGAGAUCGGUGUGGAAGCAUUUCGGGACCGGGGUUCGAUUCCCCGCGCCUCCACUU
This 409-nucleotide transfer-messenger RNA is filed under the name Gemmataceae. RNAcentral's name for it is "SYLG01 sp009691815 Standard tmRNA". It matches the Rfam family "transfer-messenger RNA". Rfam says of the family: Bacterial tmRNA, also known as 10Sa RNA or SsrA, is named for its dual tRNA and mRNA-like properties. Its role is to liberate the mRNA from a stalled ribosome. RNAcentral also lists the same sequence under 1 other name. Lineage: Bacteria; Pseudomonadati; Planctomycetota; Planctomycetia; Gemmatales. The record is from RNAcentral.